Molecule: ribosomal RNA, 753 nt
Filed under: uncultured bacterium
Lineage: Bacteria
Description: bacterial SSU rRNA
Rfam family: Bacterial small subunit ribosomal RNA
Source: RNAcentral
AGUGGCAGACGGGUGAGUAACGCGUGGGAAUCUACCCAGUUCUCUGGAAUAACUGAUGGAAACGUCAGCUAAUACCGGAUACGCCCUUUUGGGGAAAGAUUUAUCGGGAUUGGAUGAGCCCGCGUAAGAUUAGCUAGUUGGUGGGGUAACGGCCUACCAAGGCGACGAUCUUUAGCUGGUCUGAGAGGAUGAUCAGCCACACUGGGACUGAGACACGGCCCAGACUCCUACGGGAGGCAGCAGUGGGGAAUAUUGGACAAUGGGGGCAACCCUGAUCCAGCCAUGCCGCGUGAGUGAUGAAGGCCUUAGGGUUGUAAAGCUCUUUCACCGGUGAAGAUAAUGACGGUAACCGGAGAAGAAGCCCCGGCUAACUUCGUGCCAGCAGCCGCGGUAAUACGAAGGGGGCUAGCGUUGUUCGGAAUUACUGGGCGUAAAGCGCACGUAGGCGGAUAUUUAAGUCAGGGGUGAAAUCCCGGAGCUCAACUCCGGAACUGCCUUUGAUACUGGAUAUCUAGAGACCGAGAGAGGUAAGUGGAACUCCUAGUGUAGAGGUGGAAUUCGUAGAUAUUAGGAAGAACACCAGUGGCGAAGGCGGCUUACUGGCUCGGAACUGACGCUGAGGUGCGAAAGCGUGAGGAGCAAACAGGAUUAGAUACCCUGGUAGUCCACGCCGUACACUAUGAGAGCUAGCCGUUGGGGUGUUUACACUUCAGUGGCGCAUCUAACGCAUUAAGCUCUCCGCCUGGGGAGUAC